Molecule: ribosomal RNA, 497 nt
Filed under: uncultured bacterium
Lineage: Bacteria
Description: partial 16S ribosomal RNA
Rfam family: Bacterial small subunit ribosomal RNA
Source: RNAcentral
GAUGAACGCUGGCGGCGUGCCUAAUACAUGCAAGUCGAGCGAACAGACGAGGAGCUUUCUCCUCUGACGUUAGCGGCGGACGGGUGAGUAACACGUGGAUAACCUACCUAUAAGACUGGGAUAACUUCGGGAAACCGGAGCUAAUACCGGAUAAUCUAUUGAACCGCAUGGUUCAAUAGUGAAAGACGGUUUUGCUGUCACUUAUAGAUGGAUCCGCGCCGCAUUAGCUAGUUGGUAAGGUAACGGCUUACCAAGGCGACGAUGCGUAGCCGACCUGAGAGGGUGAUCGGCCACACUGGAACUGAGACACGGUCCAGACUCCUACGGGAGGCAGCAGUAGGGAAUCUUCCGCAAUGGGCGAAAGCCUGACGGAGCAACGCCGCGUGAGUGAUGAAGGUCUUCGGAUCGUAAACCUCUGUUAUUAGGGAAGAACAAAUGUGUAAGUAACUAUGCACGUCUUGACGGUACCUAAUCAGAAAGCCACGGCUAACUACGUG